This 340-nucleotide ribosomal RNA is filed under the name uncultured soil bacterium. RNAcentral's name for it is "bacterial SSU rRNA". It matches the Rfam family "Bacterial small subunit ribosomal RNA", at positions 26 to 366 of the family's 1533-position model. The record is from RNAcentral.
AGAUUGAACGCUGGCGGCAGGCCUAACACAUGCAAGUCGAGCGGUAGAGAGGUGCUUGCACCUCUUGAGAGCGGCGGACGGGUGAGUAAUGCCUAGGAAUCUGCCUAGUGGUGGGGGAUAACGUUCGGAAACGGACGCUAAUACCGCAUACGUCCUACGGGAGAAAGCGGGGGACCUUCGGGCCUCGCGCCAUUAGAUGAGCCUAGGUCGGAUUAGCUAGUUGGUGAGGUAAUGGCUCACCAAGGCGACGAUCCGUAACUGGUCUGAGAGGAUGAUCAGUCACACUGGAACUGAGACACGGUCCAGACUCCUACGGGGAGGCAGCGAGUGGGGAAUAGUU